Non-coding RNA from Pelobates cultripes (western spadefoot toad), 238 nucleotides. NCBI's taxonomy places the organism in Eukaryota, Metazoa, Chordata, Amphibia, Anura, Pelobatidae. The record is from the annotation of a GenBank genome assembly.
CUCCGGGUCCUCCUCUCGCGAGAUUUGGAGCGUUGCCGCGGUUACCACGGCAACGCUCCAAGUCUCGCGAGAGUGAACUCUAGCCCGGGAGCGCGGACUAGAGUUCACUGUAACCACUGGGACCACCAGGGAAUCACCACUGGGACCACCAGGGAUCGAAGUAUGUCCCCCCUCCCCCCCAGUAAAGGUAAGAAGGGAGGGGGGACAUAGGAUAUAUUUUUUUUUAAAUUAAAUAAAG